GUAACUAGUAAAGUCAAGUAUAUUUAGUACUGUACUUAAGUACAAGUUUGAGGUACUUGGCUUCAUUAGAGUAUUUCUAUUUAAUACUACUUCAUACUUAUACUCCACCACAUUUCGGAGGUAAAUAUUGUACUCUUUACUCCACUAUAUUUAUGUGACAGCUACACAUAU
Molecule: long non-coding RNA, 171 nt
Organism: Sander lucioperca (pikeperch)
Lineage: Eukaryota; Metazoa; Chordata; Actinopteri; Perciformes; Percidae
Exons: 3
Source: RefSeq, a predicted model, not a curated record